Molecule: ribosomal RNA, 2203 nt
Filed under: Escherichia coli
Lineage: Bacteria; Pseudomonadati; Pseudomonadota; Gammaproteobacteria; Enterobacterales; Enterobacteriaceae
Description: partial 23S ribosomal RNA
Rfam family: Bacterial large subunit ribosomal RNA
Source: RNAcentral
AAUGGGUCAGCGACUUAUAUUCUGUAGCAAGGUUAACCGAAUAGGGGAGCCGAAGGGAAACCGAGUCUUAACUGGGCGUUAAGUUGCAGGGUAUAGACCCGAAACCCGGUGAUCUAGCCAUGGGCAGGUUGAAGGUUGGGUAACACUAACUGGAGGACCGAACCGACUAAUGUUGAAAAAUUAGCGGAUGACUUGUGGCUGGGGGUGAAAGGCCAAUCAAACCGGGAGAUAGCUGGUUCUCCCCGAAAGCUAUUUAGGUAGCGCCUCGUGAAUUCAUCUCCGGGGGUAGAGCACUGUUUCGGCAAGGGGGUCAUCCCGACUUACCAACCCGAUGCAAACUGCGAAUACCGGAGAAUGUUAUCACGGGAGACACACGGCGGGUGCUAACGUCCGUCGUGAAGAGGGAAACAACCCAGACCGCCAGCUAAGGUCCCAAAGUCAUGGUUAAGUGGGAAACGAUGUGGGAAGGCCCAGACAGCCAGGAUGUUGGCUUAGAAGCAGCCAUCAUUUAAAGAAAGCGUAAUAGCUCACUGGUCGAGUCGGCCUGCGCGGAAGAUGUAACGGGGCUAAACCAUGCACCGAAGCUGCGGCAGCGACACUAUGUGUUGUUGGGUAGGGGAGCGUUCUGUAAGCCUGUGAAGGUGUACUGUGAGGUAUGCUGGAGGUAUCAGAAGUGCGAAUGCUGACAUAAGUAACGAUAAAGCGGGUGAAAAGCCCGCUCGCCGGAAGACCAAGGGUUCCUGUCCAACGUUAAUCGGGGCAGGGUGAGUCGACCCCUAAGGCGAGGCCGAAAGGCGUAGUCGAUGGGAAACAGGUUAAUAUUCCUGUACUUGGUGUUACUGCGAAGGGGGGACGGAGAAGGCUAUGUUGGCCGGGCGACGGUUGUCCCGGUUUAAGCGUGUAGGCUGGUUUUCCAGGCAAAUCCGGAAAAUCAAGGCUGAGGCGUGAUGACGAGGCACUACGGUGCUGAAGCAACAAAUGCCCUGCUUCCAGGAAAAGCCUCUAAGCAUCAGGUAACAUCAAAUCGUACCCCAAACCGACACAGGUGGUCAGGUAGAGAAUACCAAGGCGCUUGAGAGAACUCGGGUGAAGGAACUAGGCAAAAUGGUGCCGUAACUUCGGGAGAAGGCACGCUGAUAUGUAGGUGAAGCGACUUGCUCGUGGAGCUGAAAUCAGUCGAAGAUACCAGCUGGCUGCAACUGUUUAUUAAAAACACAGCACUGUGCAAACACGAAAGUGGACGUAUACGGUGUGACGCCUGCCCGGUGCCGGAAGGUUAAUUGAUGGGGUUAGCGGUAACGCGAAGCUCUUGAUCGAAGCCCCGGUAAACGGCGGCCGUAACUAUAACGGUCCUAAGGUAGCGAAAUUCCUUGUCGGGUAAGUUCCGACCUGCACGAAUGGCGUAAUGAUGGCCAGGCUGUCUCCACCCGAGACUCAGUGAAAUUGAACUCGCUGUGAAGAUGCAGUGUACCCGCGGCAAGACGGAAAGACCCCGUGAACCUUUACUAUAGCUUGACACUGAACAUUGAGCCUUGAUGUGUAGGAUAGGUGGGAGGCUUUGAAGUGUGGACGCCAGUCUGCAUGGAGCCGACCUUGAAAUACCACCCUUUAAUGUUUGAUGUUCUAACGUUGGCCCGUUAUCCGGGUUGCGGACAGUGUCUGGUGGGUAGUUUGACUGGGGCGGUCUCCUCCUAAAGAGUAACGGAGGAGCACGAAGGUUGGCUAAUCCUGGUCGGACAUCAGGAGGUUAGUGCAAUGGCAUAAGCCAGCUUGACUGCGAGCGUGACGGCGCGAGCAGGUGCGAAAGCAGGUCAUAGUGAUCCGGUGGUUCUGAAUGGAAGGGCCAUCGCUCAACGGAUAAAAGGUACUCCGGGGAUAACAGGCUGAUACCGCCCAAGAGUUCAUAUCGACGGCGGUGUUUGGCACCUCGAUGUCGGCUCAUCACAUCCUGGGGCUGAAGUAGGUCCCAAGGGUAUGGCUGUUCGCCAUUUAAAGUGGUACGCGAGCUGGGUUUAGAACGUCGUGAGACAGUUCGGUCCCUAUCUGCCGUGGGCGCUGGAGAACUGAGGGGGGCUGCUCCUAGUACGAGAGGACCGGAGUGGACGCAUCACUGGUGUUCGGGUUGUCAUGCCAAUGGCACUGCCCGGUAGCUAAAUGCGGAAGAGAUAAGUGCUGAAAGCAUCUAAGCACGAAACUUGCCCCG